Molecule: long non-coding RNA, 228 nt
Organism: Chinchilla lanigera (long-tailed chinchilla)
Lineage: Eukaryota; Metazoa; Chordata; Mammalia; Rodentia; Chinchillidae
Exons: 2
Source: RefSeq, a predicted model, not a curated record
CUUCCCUCACUCUUCCUGCCACCUUGUGGUGGAGGAGUGCAGACCUGAGCAUGAUGGAAACAUCUAAAUUCUAACCAUGGCCAAUUUAGGGGAUCACCGACUUGAGAGAUUUGAACCAUCUACCUAGAAAUCAUGGGCAUUCAGUUUUGUAAGGAUGGCAACCUUUGUGAAAUCAUAAUUGAAGAUGUUGAAGAAACCACCGAGUGGAAGGAGAAGAAAAAGCGAAAA